GGCGAUCAGAUACCGCCCUAGUUCUAACCGUAAACGAUGCAAACCAGAAAUUCGCGGGAGUUAAUACAUGACUUCGCGAGCGUCUUCCGGGAAACCAAAGAUAUGUUCCGGGGGUAGUAUGGUUGCAAAGCUGAAACUUAAAGGAAUUGACGGAAGGGCACCACCAGGAGUGGAGCCUGCGGCUUAAUUUGACUCAACGCGGGGAAACUUACCCGGCCCGGACACCGUAAGGAUUGACAGAUUGAGAGCUCUUUCUUGAUUCGGUGGGUGGUGGUGCAUGGCCGUUCUUAGUUGGUGGAGCGAUUUGUCUGGUUAAUUCCGAUAACGAACGAGACUCUAGCCUAUUAAAUAGUCGGUAAAUCCUUUGUUUACUGUACUUCUUAGAGGGACAGAAGGCGUCUAGCCUUACGAGAUUGAGCAAUAACAGGUCUGUGAUGCCCUUAGAUGUUCGGGGCUGCACGCGCGCUACACUGAAGGAUUCAACGUGAUUUUUCACCUGUUCUGGAAAGAAUGGGUAACCCGUUGAAACUCCUUCGUGAUUGGGAUAGGGGCUUGUAAUUAUUCCCCUUGAACGAGGAAUUCCUAGUAAGUGCGGGUCAUCAUCUCGCGUUGAUUACGUCCCUGCCCUUUGUA
Molecule: ribosomal RNA, 633 nt
Filed under: Tripyla cf. affinis Konza IIAC-113
Lineage: Eukaryota; Metazoa; Nematoda; Enoplea; Triplonchida; Tripylidae
Also listed under: 1 other name
Description: SSU rRNA
Rfam family: Eukaryotic small subunit ribosomal RNA
Source: RNAcentral